AGAGGGUGCAAACGUUGCUCGGAAUCACUGGGCGUAAAGGGCGUGUAGGCGGGAAGGAAAGUCAGAUGUGAAAUCCCUGGGCUCAACCCAGGAACUGCAUUUGAAACUCCCUUUCUUGAGUGUCGGAGAGGAAAGUGGAAUUCCUGGUGUAGAGGUGAAAUUCGUAGAUAUCAGGAGGAACACCGGUGGCGAAGGCGGCUUUCUGGACGACAACUGACGCUGAGACGCGAAAGCGUGGGGAGCAAACAGGAUUAGAUACCCUGGUAGUCCACGCUGUAAACGAUGAACACUAGGUGUCGUGGGUAUUGACCCCCGCGGUGCCGCAGCUAACGCAUUAAGUGUUCCGCCUGGGAAGUACAGUCGCAAGACUA
RNAcentral lists this ribosomal RNA (371 nucleotides) under uncultured bacterium. RNAcentral describes it as "bacterial SSU rRNA". It matches the Rfam family "Bacterial small subunit ribosomal RNA", at positions 527 to 896 of the family's 1533-position model. The record is from RNAcentral.